Non-coding RNA from Chlorocebus sabaeus (green monkey), 11563 nucleotides. The record is from RefSeq and is a predicted model, not a curated record. Lineage: Eukaryota; Metazoa; Chordata; Mammalia; Primates; Cercopithecidae.
UAGAGACGGGUUUCACCAUGUUAGCCAGGAGGGUCUUGAUCUCCUGACCUUGUAAUCUGCCCGCUUCGGCUUCCUGAAGUGCUGGGAUUACAGGCAGGAGCCACCGUGCCCGGCUGCACUUUUCAAUAAACAACGAUUCUGCAGCAAGUCUUGGCUGAACCGUGUGGCCUUCUCUUCUGGCGACUCUAUCUAGCCAUCUGUGUAGAACAGGACAUGUGGGGGGCAGUAGUGGAGCUUUUCCAAAUAACUCUGUAUGCCAGCAGUGGUCGUGGAUCACACUAAUUGUUCUGCUAUUCAAUUAAAGGAUUUUUUUUCUUCCAGAUGCUUCCUUCUUUAAAUGUGUUAGCUAUAGGGCAAUCCAUUUUAAACUGGGAACUUGGUUGCUUUCUCUGAUCUUAAAGCAGAUUGCUGGUACUUGUCUGUUUCUAUCACUUUUUGCUCCUCUGUCCUUUCCACUUCCACACUUCCCCAACGGCCUCGGCUCCGAGAACUAAUAACGUUGCUUUUUAGUCCCUGGCUAGAUCAUGGACAUAGAAAGCCAAACCACAAUAGGUUAGAUGUGAAGUGUAGUGAUAAAGAGGAAAACAGUAUGAUGGUAAAUAUGUGGGUUGCAUUUUCAAUUUUGCAUUUUUAUUGAAUUCCUGUUUUUUCAUUAAGUAAUUCUCCCUGAGCUUGGCCACAUUUUUUCUGACGCCGGAUAUGUGGGUUUGUUGAUUUGCAGUAUUGUGUGAUGCUUUAUGUAUACGUUUGACAGGAUGCAUAUUCAUCCCACUAACAUUCAUUAGAACCCAAAUGAAUGCACAGACGUGAAUGAUAGAUUUAAGCACACGUGUCUGCUUUCCUUCUGAUAAACAGUAGCUUUUCAGGACUGUCAACUAGUGAGGAUUCUCAACAGAGCUUUAUUUGAGAACAAAUGGAGAAUCUCUCUUCAAUUACAUAAUUAGAAUUAAAUCCUAGAAAGGCACCUCAGUGGCUGGUAAACCUUUCUGCAGACUUCGUUUUGUGAAAGAAAAUGCUAGUCACCGCUGCUUGUUCCUGCACAUUGUUUUGUUUUGGAUAUGUUCAAGUAUAAUUGUUUCUGCUGUUCAGUGGCCUGUUUGCAAGCAUGUAUUUGUUAAAACACAUUGAGAAGGAAAUUUUCAGUUUUUAGGAAAAUCAGUUUUGAACUAGAAUUCAUAGACCAUGCUUUCCGUGGUGACGAUGCUGGAUUGCUUCACAGCACUGGUCCUCUCGCGCUGCCGAGUGGAACGAUGACUAGGCACUGUGUGACGAGGCACGAUGCUGAUUAGUAUCCAGAAAAAAAGUCCUCAGCGCCAUGUAGCUUUCUAAGCUCUUGCUUUACAUAAAUAUGCUGGUAACUACUGACUCUUACGUUUUGGCAGUGAUUUUGCUAGUAAACAUAUUUUCAGGGCAGAAACUCUACAAUGUAAAGGAAGAUAUUGCCCCCACUCCCCAGCCAAGAAAAAAAAAAAAAAAAAAAAGGGAAUGAAAUGUGUGGCUGUAUCAGCCCUUGCCCCUCAAAUGGGUUUUGGCAGACUUUAAGAGAAGUAAAAUAUAAAUUAAUUCUCCAAGAAUUUAGGAUGCUCUUCCAGAAAGAGACGAGUCAGCUUCCCACAUCGAACAGAGGGGAAUCUUUCGCAUAUUUAGUCCAUCUUCUGUAUUUACAGAAUUUUCGCAUUACUUUCUUUUCUUGGUUUACAACAAUUCAACAAUUCUUUUCUUUAAAGCUGUCUAAGAAAUGUGUGUUUCACUGAUCCCAGAGGCGGUGCAAUUCUGGACAGCACAACGAAGGUUUAUGUUCACACAAAUUGUCUAGCUACUAAUUCAGAGAGGUCUUCUGUGGAUGGACAUUGGAGUAAUUUAAGCUCAACUGUUUUUCAAGUCAACAAAUAUUGACAUUUGCCUGUUACCCUCCAGGCAUUGUUCUUUUUUCUUCACAUUCUUUCUUGCUUUCUACAAGUUAGGCUAAUCCACUAUUAAAGUAGAGACACGAUAACACGAAUUAUUAUUGCAGUAUUAAUUUUCGAAAAACAAAAUAAGGAAAGCAUAUUUUGAAUGGCGGGAGGUGUGGACAAUCGGUGGAAAAUCCAGGUUUGUCUUUUUAUUUUUUGUGCCAGGUCUUGUUCGCUCAGUGUUUACAGUUGGGACCGAUACAAGUCAGUUACCUGAGAAAAUCUGUUGGAGAAAAUAGCUACUGAAACUCUGAAGAAUCUGUCUUUCCUGCUUAUUUUUCAAGCAUACUCUAACAUACUUAAAUCAGCAAAUUUCUAGUGGAACUGAAAAAAGCUCUGUCCUGUUGGUCAGGCUUACGUAAACACAGUAAUGUAAGCAGUACUUGAGGGCAGAAAUUGUCCCAGGCACAAGCUAUUGUCACGACUAAGCUUUUUACAAGGCAAGGAUGAAUAAACUCACGACUUUAGUUGUGCCCCAUAGUCUGUUAAUCUUUCCAUCUUUUAAUGCAAACUUAUUCAUACUCGAAAAAUAUAUAUUAUAAUUCACAUUAUAUGUGUACAUUCACAUACAUAUUAUUGAGACUUCUAUUGGAAAUAUGUAGAAAUACUAUGUAGGCACUUGUAAGCUUCAGGUGAUAAGUAUACAAUUAAAUACACAUCAUGAUGACUAUUUUUGUAAAAUGAUUAUAGCUAAUUAUUGAAAAGUGCUUGAAAUCUGUAUGUACCUCCUGAUUAGGAAUCUAAUAACUACAUAUUAAAAUUUAAAGUUACUAGAAAUGUUAUGUUUCACAACAUUUAAUGAACCUAAAUAAUUUGGAAUACUAACCUUAUAAAACAUAAUUAUAGAAUGCAGGUAGUUUUUAAUGGAAUCAAGUCUUUCUAGUUUAUUCAAUGAAAUUUCAUGUUUUCUUAGCUUACAAACUAAUAGGAAUAUCAAUUUAAUUUUUACAAACCUAACCCCUUUACAUCUUAAAGUAGAAAUUAGAGUAUUUCCCAUUGUAGAAGCUUUUUGUGAUAUAAAAACAUAGCAUUUAGUGAAGUACUUCCAUGAAGUCUUAGCAAUCUGCUUAUUUCAAUGUGAAAUAACUGAAUAUAAAAACAUUUAGCAAUUUUGAUCAAUGAACUUAUGCUGACAUCCUUUUGGCGUAUCUAUAAUAUAUUAUUGAUAAAUUGCUAAUAAUAUUUAUAAUUUAAAAUAGUUUCCAAUUGCUGAGGAGCACUUAGAGAUGAAAGCCUUCUUCCAUGGAUAGAAAUUAUGGGAGUCCCAGAUGUGAAAAUUGCCGUGUAUUUUUGGUUACGGACACACCCCCAGUUCUCCUCAGGCCGUGGUACACGUACUGCACAGAGAUCCUAAUGGCCAGUCCAGGAAUGCCUGUGUCCGGAAGCACUGAGUGGAUGAUGGCCCCCAGAACAUUCCACAGGGUUGGAGCGAGCACUUCAGUCUGCACAUGAGGGUGGUGACAGACGUCAAUUAGGAAACUGAUGUCAAUUACAAAAUUCCUUUUGCAUGAAAAAUUCAUCUUCAGUUUAUAAGGGUUGAUUAUUACUCCUGUGCCUUUUUAUUUCCUGAAAGUCACACUUGAAUAUUAAGAAGAAAUAAUUUUACAAAACCAAAAAUGGCUGACAGCAGGCAAGUGAGAACUAUUAGUUAACUGAUCAAAAAAAAAAAAAAAAAAAAAAGAGUGGAAGUGGACAGAGAAGAAAACUGGCAAUAAACUGAUUAUAAGUUCCUCUGUCCCUUCUUCCUUUCUUCCUUCUAGCCCGCCUUUAUAUUAUUUUUUAGCAGAACAAAUUUUCCUGGGAAAACUGGAAGUUUAUUCUGAAGCAGUAACAAGUAACUUCCGUGACUUUGCCAUUUCAGCUUUCACUCUUGGUGAAGGUCAAGGCAGUGGCAGAUGAAGGCAGGCCUCCUGCAACUACAAGUCACUUUUCCCUGCUCAAAGGGCCUCCCACCUCAUCUUUGGGCAAGGCUCACCUGGCAGGUAGCCCAAGGGAGGGCUGUGGGUCACUGCCCACCACUGUCCUCUAGCACAUCUGUACAUGUAGGCAUGUACAUAUGCACACCCCACCCCUGCAUACGCAGACCUACAUUCACGUGCAUGGAUACACACAUGCACGUAUGCAGGCUCACAUGCACACAUGCACACACCACCCCCCACAAACACACACCUACACUCAGGUACACACAGAUACAGACAUGCACACCAUGCCUGCACAUACACGUGCAAACACUCCUACAUCCACAUGCCCACGCUCACAGGCACAUAGGCACAGGUGCGUACACAUACCCACACACAUGCACACAUCCACGUCCACAUCCACACCCACACACACUAUUAAGAAAAAAUCAAAAACUUAAACUGAAUUUGGAGGUAAGCAGCUACCAAUAAGAGUUGCAGUGAGCUAACUGGGGACAGGUCCCACCGGAAAUCAUAACGGUGGGUGUCAGGAACUGGGGGGAAGAGGCUGUAGGGGCUCCAGGCCUUUAGGAUGUUUAGAUUCCAUUGGUCUUAGCCUCGUUUUAACCCACCUUGCAUCAUUCUCUCUCAUCAAUCAUAAUUUAAAUAUUUGUUUUCUCUACAUCUCUUUGAUCUUUUCUGUAAAUUGAGGUCUUCGACAGAAUUUUAUGUAAAAAGAAUGCUGACAGCGGCAUUCGAAUUUUUAAAAACAUUCUUUCUGAUUAACACAUUUCUCUUUUGUGGCUGAACCACUCAUCAUAGGAGGAUUGUUCACUAGUCCUUUGCUUUCAACAGGCCUUAAGAUCGUCUGUGGAUUGUGUAACUGGAGAAUUGUGUUUGGGAGGGUUUGGGCUUCCUGGCCACGAGGCAUCUUCUCUCCCAUCUUGCAGUAAGUUGACCGUCGCUGUGCUGGCCGAUCCACAGGCCUGGUGGUCUGAGAGGUACCUUGCUCUCUUAUAGUACCUCUUUCUGCAUCUGUUACAAGAAAGUGUUUAGAAGAACCAAUGUAUUUUCCCAAGAAAAAGAAAUCAGGAACCUGGUGUAUUGUGCCUGAUGCUUUAGAUAAACUAAUCCAAAUCAGGUGAGUUGUCUGUUGUUUACAGCUGAACGUCAAACAGAGAAAGCUGAUACAUAGAUCCAAUAACUCUGUUAUCCCACAUUGUACAUAGACUCCAACGUUCUGUCUAAGUCGUUAAGUUUCAAGGGAAAGCAAAGAUGGGAGGGUAGUUCAUACUUACGCUUUCCUGUUUUGUUUUGUUUUGUUUUUGUGUGUGUACCAUUCAGCAACCUUGUCCCUCCUUGGUGUGCUCUGCAGGUGGUGGCCCCACCCUCUGUCAUAUAAAUUCUCCCGCCUAGACUUCGCAUUUUUGUGAGGCAUGAUUUUGAAAUUUCAGAAAUUAAUUUCUUUUGGACGAUGCCUAGAUUCAGCUGUGAAUGAGUCUGUGCACAGAUUGUGAAACGUGCUCUGGCCUCGUUCGUCUCUGUUGAAAGGAAAUGGCAGCCCCUUGCCAUACCAGGAAAGGGGCAUCCACGUUCAUCUGAAUGAAGACUGCCUCUUCAGCCACAGCUAAGAUGCUUGUAAUAGGACUGAGAGCCGCCUCUGUUGCAGGAAGCCCCUGGGAUUUCAGAGCUGCUUGUAACUGCAGCCUAACACAGCCUCAGCAGACUGAUACGUCGUCGUGUCACCAAAACAGAGCAGGAAGGAAUCAGAGUCAGCAGUGAUGGUUCUGUUGGUUAACACUAGUGACACUGAGUGGCACACUCACCUGAAUGGUGCAUGAGUUGGCACAAACGGAUUUGUGGAUGUGAUUUGGAAAUGGAGAGAUUCUGUGUCCUAAAACCAAUCUACAGAUGAUGACCUCCAGGAACAUGGAUGGAGUUGGAGGUCAUUAUUCUUCACAAACUAAUGCAGGAACAGAAAACCGAAUGCUACAUGUUCUCACCGGAAUACCUAAAAGAACAAAAGUUCUGCAUUGAAGAUUCCUUGUGAAACACUCGGGGUUGUAGGUAACUUCUUUUUCCCUAUGAAUCAAAAUCUUUCCAUUAAAUUAAUAAAGAGUUCUCGGGUUGCAGGAGAGCCAAGUUUCUGUCAUUCUCCGUUACACAUUGGGAAAUGGGAAAGAGAAGAAAGAAACGUGCUGGAACGCGGAGAGCCAGCCGCUCUGCUGAGCCUCUUCCAGUCACUUUAUGAGAGUCAGUCAUGCCAUGGAUCAAAUGAGGAGAUUCCUAAAACCGAGACAUUCUGUGUAGGGAAGAAGCCCCUUGGCAAGCGGAAGAGUAUCACCUCGUUUGAAGUGAACCAAACAGCCGGCUCAUUGUUUGAGAAACAGUUGUUUCACGGGUGAAUCGACUCCUCUUCGGCAGCCACUGGUUUGCUGAGGAUUUACUUUGAACAUUUCGAUGACCCUUCAAAAUAGCUUCUUCACUGAAUUCUCUCAAUUCCUUCAUGAAGUGUAACAUCUAUAGCAUCUGACUGACGGUCGUUGGUACCAGAAAUGGCCCCAGCAAACAAACCCUCUGAAAAGACUUCUGGCGUUGGUUGCUCCUGCAGUGGAGAAGUAUGCAGAUAACUUUGCAGGAGAUGAGGCCCUGAGCACACUCAGACAGUGAGAAAGCCUGGCAGCUUGGUGGGAGCUCCUCACUUCCUAGUCAUGGCAGAUGUGGCUGAGCUCUGCCUGAUGUAUGGGCUGUGGACCUGCAGCUUCGAUGAAGGCACAGCCCCACGGCUCUCACUCUCAGGUAAUGGCUGGUUGGGGAGAGGUGGGAGACCGAGACGUGUAAGAGACUAAGAAGUUUAAACCUCCAAUUCUCCCUGAACUUGUCUUCAGGCAACUCCUUCUCCAGGUAUAAAUGCCCUUCAGAGAAUACACCUGCGGAAUCUGCUCACAAACAGGUGCACGUCCCUCUCGGCUGUAAGCCCUACCACCCCAAUUGCCACCAGGCGCAUAACGCGAUUAGAUCCCAGCACAGCCCAGACGGAGAAGCACAAAUCCUUGUUUUGGAGGCGAUAGUCUGUCUACCAAGAGAAUUACAGGGUCCUGCCAAUUACAUCUGCUGGGGCCUGGGGAACAUCAUGGGAUGCCUUCGAAGGCUGUUAGACUAAUAAAAGUCAAAUGGAAGCAGUGAUUGGGCUGUAUUUAUUGACGUGGGUAUAAAUAUUCAGGAUUUGGAAUGUAAUAUGUUGGCUUGAGUCUACCAGGUUGGCUGAGUGAAGCCUGGACUCAAUGGUGACCUGGAGUCAAGGAAGCUCAAAUUCUGGAAUGUCUCCAUCCAACAGCCCAGGAAAAAUGGGGAAGUUAGAAUGGGCCUAUUAGGGGCAACCUGCUUACCUACCUUCUAAUGAGGUCUCUUCUCCUCCUCCUCCUUAUUUACCUCCUUUCUAGUGGGGCCUGGAGGGCUAUCCCUUAACCGAAGUGUGAUGUGGUGUGUGCUGUCAGCCAGAUGUUCCAGUCAGCUGGCAAGGAGCCUCCUCUUGAAAAUUAUUUAGGCUGCUCUGAAAUGUACCAACUCUUAUAGAAGACAAUAGUCCCUGUGAUAAGGCUGGGAAGAGUCCUAAGGACCAUGGCCACUAGUUUCAAAAGCACCUGGAGGAAGACGAGCUCAUUUCUUUUGGUGAGGAAGAGGAAGGCCACACGGAGAAGGUAGGAUUCAAGCUGGGCCUUCAAAGUUGAGCAUGGGUAUUUUUUUUUAAUAGAUGAAAGGUGAGAGAAUACAUCGAAGGUAGGUAACGCUUGUUAGUUGAACCAGUAACUAGGUCAAAGAAUAGAACAACAGCGAGAGGAAAGUGAGUCUCACAGGAAAGCCUGACAAGUCAAGAAAUGUGGGAGGGAGCCUGGGGACAGUGUGGUCAAUGACCUCUUCUGACACAAGUGCACGAAGCUAGGAGAAAGGGCCCUGGGGAGACUGAGGCACAUCCCAAUUGCCUGCCUUGAGAGGGACACCAUGCUUCUGUGAAUGAAGCCUGAGCCCACCUGCAUUGUUCCUUUUCAGUGCUCUUAUAACUCAUCUUCAGGCCCUUUUUCUCAAAACCCACUUCUAAGCUAGAUGUUAUCUGUGCCAAAAUUAUGAAAUUAUUUGUGGGAAUCUAAAAUCAGAACUUCACAUUUAAAAAAACUUGUAUGUCUAAUGAAUUGUUUGUAUUGGAUUUUGUCUCCUUUGGGCCUUGAAAUCAUCUUGAAUAUGGAUUCUGUUGCCUGGUAGAUGAGCUGCCCCACCAGCUGUGGCUCAGGGGACUUUCCUCCAGGUUAACUGCAGUGGACUCCUCAGCAUCCAUAAGUUCACUGUUGUUUAAUCAACUAUCAAUGUCUCCUUACACUUUAAUUCCUCCCUCCUUUGUCAAGUCAGACACUUUGAGGAAAUCACAGUGCCUGUGUUCUUCUGAUCUACAGGUCUCAUGAGCCCAUCAAAAACUCAGUGAACUUGUUUGGUUGGAUGCAUCCUUUAUUGCUUUUAAAAUACAACAAAGCUGUCGAUAAAUUAUUCCAUCAUCGCUUUUCAAGGUAUCCAUAUUAAAUGUAGCAGUCUAGAACUCUAAAUUCAUUGCCUUGCCCUUUCUUAUAUAAAAUAUGGACAUUUGUGUGUCUCCAGUGUUCAGGCAUCCUUCUUUCUUUAGUAGGAUUCCUCAGACAUUACUAAAAGUGGUGAUGAUAUGAAAUGUAUCAAUAAAAGGUACCAGGUAAAGGAUUUUCAGGUGUCCAAGCACACGAAUGAGGUUGUGGGCACCUUGCAAUGCGUCUGAGGCUUUGGCUCUCCAUGCCCACAUUCCUGGGAGUGGCGCUCAGUGGCAACAGUAAGAUCCAAGCCGCCUCCCGGUCGGUUCCCAGGAUGUCCCUCUGCCUGCUCCUGGGGAGAUCACGGGAAAGGAAGGGCGAUUGAAGGCAUCACACCCUGGUAGGAAUUUUCCAAUAUAAAUCCAGUAACUGUUUCCAUGAUGACCUAAAAAAAGAAGAGUCUGGAAUCAAUUUGUAACUUUUUCUAUGCCUUCCCCACUCUGACUCAUUUUUUUGAUUGGUCGUUUUUCAUUAUUUAUUGAUGGAGGGUUUGCCUUUGUAGGGCAGCGUGGCAUUAGGCCAGUGUAGCCUGAGGCGAAUGUGUACCUGGAGAGAGGUCAGUUCCUGCAUUUCAGGUGCACAGAUUAUGAAAUCAGGUCCCUCCUGCGCUAACAAGGAUCUCAUCCUGUAAGCAGUAGGCUGUAUUUACUGUAUGUACAGCUUUACCUGCAGGGCGAUUGUGUUUUGUAAUUAGUACCACUCCAAGUUUUAGCUAAAUUUUUGAGGAACUGGCGGCCUCACAGGGUUAUCUCAUUACUAGUAGAAGCCCAAGGAAUGUAUACAAGCACACCUACAUGGCAACCCCACUCUACCCAAAUAAUGACAUCAUUUCUGUUUUUUUCUCUCUCUGAUUAAAUGCCUCUUCUCUUUUGUCCAACUCUUCUGCACACACUUUAAGGGGCUUUCCCUGGUGUGUGUCCUCUUUUGUUCAGCCACCCGGAAAUUGAAGUGCUUCAGGCCCUUUCAUUCUUACGUAAAACCUUGGCUGCUUUUUCUCCCUAAUAUUUGGAAAAGUCAAGGUAUCCUGUGAGCUGCCAAGUGCACUGGGGUGGGAACUGGAAAGGAUCCAAGGCCCUAUUAUUUCUUCCCACUCCUUCCUAGCUCAUGGUGAACUUCUUGCACCAAACUCCUAAUGUUUGUAGCAGUUCUCUGGGACGUUUGCCCUUUGCACCCUAUCCCAAUUACACGCAGAGUCUGAUUCCAGAAUUAAUCACCAAUAUGGAUUCAGAUUAGCAAACAACUACCACAGACCGACCAGCAGGGCAGCCUUUGGAAAUAGCACUUCCCCGGUUGGCCACUGGACAUAGACAGAGCUGUGCAGACCUUGGUCUCACACUGAUUGGCUGUUAGGUGAAGGACUGAGACCUACCUUCCUGUUUUGAUUUACUGGGAACAGGUCAAAGGGCCCCUGAAAAGUAUACAACACUUCCCGUUUAAAAUAGAUCUUGGAAGACACUGAAAGAAGAAGGAAGAAUGUGGGAAUGCAAAUGGGACAGGGUUCUUUGAUCCUAAACCCAGUCAGGAUCUUAAUUAGCUGUACGUGGAAGACCACAAAGGACACCCUCCCCUAGCGAAGGCCUCUCCAAGUGAGAUGCAAGUUCCGGGAAAUGAUUGAGUUGUCCCAUGUCCAGAUGAAUCCACCAUGAGGUUCAGGGAGAUUCUGAAUGAGGAGCCUUCUUUGUCUCUGUGUAUUCUGAGUGAGUGAAAUCACUGGUAAUUCAGAGAGUGUCUGUAACAGAGAGGAUUUUUAGCUGUGAAUCAUAUACCAUGUACUAUAUAUACACAUAAUAGAAUGGGAGAGACUGGCCUCCCCGCCUUCCCUUCUCACUCUCCCCGUUUCCCACCCAAGAGGUCCAGAUAGGGUCACUGAUGAGGAUGGUGUGGAUGAGGGGGACACUCAGGAAAGAAUCCAGGGAACGUCCAGCCUUGGUGGUUGAGCCAAGAUGAAGGACUAGCCAAGAAGGAUUGAGCAGCAGCUGCAAAGGGAGGGAAACACGGAGAAAAGGAGUACAACCCAAGCCAGGCCAUGAAAGUGUCUCCAAUGGUGAUUGCUGUCUAAACUAUUGAGAAAUUGUGUGAGACAAAGAUAGAAAAUUAACCGCUGUGUUUGACCAGAGGCAGGUCCAUGCUGAAUUCAACAAGAGUAAUUUCUGUAAUGCAUUGGAAAGCUCCAUUUGACAGACGUUACACACAAGGUUCAGUUAUUCAGGAAAUAGGCAUGUUCGGUUUUUGCAAUGGUGAGAAAUUUUCCCACAAAGUUUUGCAGACUUCUAUUAUUUUCUAGCACUGCCUGCUGUAAAAACCUGAGCCUAAAAGGAAUUUUCCCCUUUGUAGGUGUCUUCCUUUUUAUGCUGCGAUAUUGGAAGAAAAUGUCCAUGAUCCUCACGGUUCAAGUGAAGUGCAACAAUCUAACCAGGAUGUGCCUCAGUGACUGGCCUCUAUUUCCUUUUCGCGAUAAAGGUACAUACCCAGGAACAUCGAAACAUAUGUCCCUGCAAAAACAUGUACAGGAAUGACCACAGCAGCAAUACUCACAAUAGUCAAAAAGUGGAGACAAUCCAAAUGUCCAUGCGCUGACGAAAAGAUAAACAACGUGUGGUAUACCCAUACCCAGAUGACGGAGUGCCAUCAGCUGUAAGGAGGAGUGACGUUCUGGUAGGCUGUGUGAAAGAAGCCAGACGCAAAGGCCACAUGGGUCACUCCACGCAUAUGAAGUGUCUGCGACAGGCAGAGCCAUGGACACAGUACAUGGAUUCCUGGUUGCCUAGGGCUGGGGGCGGGGGCGACUAGGGGCAGGUGGGGAGUCACUGCUAUGGGGAGAGGGCAUUUCUCAGAGGUGAGAAAGGUCUCUGAAAAUUGCUUGUGAUGGUUGCACAACUUUGAGAAUAUACUAAAAUUCAUUGAAUUAUAUGCACUAAAUGGGUGAACUUUCUCAAUGAAUUAUAUACACUAAACGGGUGAACUUUCUCCAAGAAUUGUAUACACUAAACGGGUGAACUUUCUCAAUGAAUUGUAUACACUAAACAGGUGAACUUUCUCAUUGAAUUAUAUACACUAAACGGGUGAACUUUCUCAUUGAAUUAUAUACACUAAACGGGUGAAC